Molecule: small nuclear RNA, 195 nt
Filed under: Cricetulus griseus (Chinese hamster)
Lineage: Eukaryota; Metazoa; Chordata; Mammalia; Rodentia; Cricetidae
Description: 7SK RNA
Rfam family: 7SK RNA
About the family: 7SK was discovered as an abundant small nuclear RNA in the mid-70s but a possible function has only recently been suggested.
Source: Rfam by way of RNAcentral
GGCUAUGAGGGCAAUCUGGCUGCAACAUCUGACGCCCCAAUGAUCACCAGGGUUGAUUCUGCCAAUCUGGCCAGCUAGGUGGGUAUCCCCACCCUCCUUCACUGCUCCAUGUGUGUACCCCCAGAUGUGGCAUGCUUGGCUAGAGAGGAUGACCUUCCCUGAUAGAGCUUCCAAACAGUCUCUCAAGGUCGUAGA